RNAcentral lists this ribosomal RNA (253 nucleotides) under uncultured bacterium. RNAcentral describes it as "partial 16S ribosomal RNA". It matches the Rfam family "Bacterial small subunit ribosomal RNA", at positions 524 to 776 of the family's 1533-position model. The record is from RNAcentral.
UACGGGGGGGGCAAGCGUUGUUCGGAAUUACUGGGCGUAAAGGGCUCGUAGGUGGCCAACUAAGUCAGACGUGAAAUCCCUCAGCUUAACUGGGGAACUGCGUCUGAUACUGGAUGGCUUGAGUUUGGGAGAGGGAUGCGGAAUUCCAGGUGUAGCGGUGAAAUGCGUAGAUAUCUGGAGGAACACCGGUGGCGAAGGCGGCAUCCCGGACCAAUACUGACACUGAGGAGCGAAAGCCAGGGGAGCAAACGGG